CACUACCUACGGGAGGCAGCAGUGGGGAAUAUUGCGCAAUGGGCGAAAGCCUGACGCAGCGACGCCGCGUGAGGGAUGAAGAUCUUCGGAUCGUAAACCUCUGUCAGCAGGGAAGAACGGUCACUGUGCUAAUCAGCAGUGAAUUGACGGUACCUGCAAAGGAAGCACCGGCUAACUCCGUGCCAGCAGCCGCGGUAAUACGGAGGGUGCGAGCGUUAAUCGGAAUUACUGGGCGUAAAGCGCUCGUAGGCGGUAUGUCAAGUCAAGGGUGAAAUCCCCGCGGUCAACGUGGGUA
This 295-nucleotide ribosomal RNA is filed under the name uncultured bacterium. Its description in RNAcentral is "partial 16S ribosomal RNA". It matches the Rfam family "Bacterial small subunit ribosomal RNA", at positions 334 to 620 of the family's 1533-position model. The record is from RNAcentral.